UGGCAAAAAAGAAACAAGAGAAAACAUAUUUCUAAGGUGCUAAACAAACCUUUGGAGGUAUAGUAGCAGCAUGACUAAUGUCAGCUACUUCUGCCAGGCACCUUCAGACACGU
Panthera pardus (leopard) is the source of this 113-nucleotide small nucleolar RNA. NCBI's taxonomy places the organism in Eukaryota, Metazoa, Chordata, Mammalia, Carnivora, Felidae. The record is from Ensembl.